Molecule: long non-coding RNA, 1968 nt
Organism: Chinchilla lanigera (long-tailed chinchilla)
Lineage: Eukaryota; Metazoa; Chordata; Mammalia; Rodentia; Chinchillidae
Exons: 3
Source: RefSeq, a predicted model, not a curated record
CCGAUCAGAAGGGAGAAAAGAAGUCUGGUAAUACACAGCUGCACAGCAUAUCCACAGCAGAUGCAAAGGACCGCGCAGCAUGCCUGUAAUUCCAGCAUCUGAGUGCUGAGGCAGGAGAAUUGCCAUGAGUUUGAGGUCACCCUAGACUGCACGGGUGAAGUUUUUGAGACUACAAAUAAACGCUGUUUUGGUUUAACACAUUGGAUUGAUUGAGCAUAAAGAUUUACUUCUCUUCCCUUUGGAGACAUCAUUAAGAACUGCACUUCUACUUGGGAGAGACUUGUGGCAGUGAUGAAGACUGUGGAGCACCUGAAGCCCUACUACUCCACCCUAAGUGCCACUUUUGCUACUUUUAUGUCUAUAAAAAAUUUCUUAAGGCCAUGAUUGAUGGCACAUACCUGCAAUCCCAGCACUCAGGAAGCUAAGGCAGAAGGAUGGCAAGUUGAAGCCCAGCCUAGACAACUUAGUAAGACGUCAAACAAAAGAAGUGCUAGGGAUGUAGCUCAGUAGUAGAGCACCCCUGAGUUACUUCCCUAUAUUCCCCCAAAUCCCUUGAGGUAGUCCAGAGGACUGAAUAAAAGAGGAAACUUGGUAAUCUAUGAGUCCCCUUGAAAAGGUACAGGAAGCUAGAAGUACAAAGGAGUUUCAUUACCUUCUAUUAUUUGUAAGAAUCUCAUUCCAAAUUAUAUAGGAUGUGGUAUACCCUAUUUGGAGUUUCUUUUUUAACUAUAAGAAUCUAUCACUUUUUGGGUUUUUUUUUAAUAAAAAAAAAAGCCAUACUGAUAUUUGAAGUAAACCAGGAAGUGGGGCUAAUCUUCAGGUAAUUUGUUUCCACUGAAUUCAGGGCCGUGGAGGCAGGAUGACUGAUGGGUGGGACAUCCUGGUGUGGCAGCUGAGUGUCCUCUCUCAGGCGGAGAUGAGAGACUAUGCAGUCAAUACAGACAGAUACAGGGUAGAAAGGAUGUGUUCUUACAUGAAGUCCACCUUCUUCCUUCUGGACUCUUUUCGUUAGAGAAAUUGGAUAGAACAUCAAUUUUACUCAGCCAGAAAUUUUAUCAUAGUACACCUAGGACUCCACCUCCUGAAACACUUUCUUAAACGGACACUAGAUAGAGUCUGAGGAAGUCUCCCAGAGAGGACAUGAAGCCCUCAACUUGAUCUACUGAGUAAAUUCCUGAUUCUUAUCACAGAAACGAUAAUUUUAGAAAAUGUCAGAGUCAUAAAGGGGCAGGCUUAUUCAGCACAGUUAAGAAGUAAAGGAGAUUAGUGAAAGGACUCCAGCCAGAGUAACUUGAGGGGACUCAUUCUGAUGCAGGGGUUCAGACUGGCCCACACACAAAAGCAUGAGGGAGGCUAGCUUUUAAGGACCGGCUGAGGUGGGCUAGGUUCUGAUUGAUCAUUAUCUCAGUUUGGCUUUCCAGGGCACCAGAGGACUCCUUAUGGCUCUAGGGGCAAUUUGUUUCCCAUGAGAUGAUUAUCAUUGCUCUGAAGGGGGCUGCCUUGUGUUCAUGUCAAGGGAUAAUUGUUCUUCUUUUGGGGAGAGAUGACCUCAUCAUAGGGAGAUUGGCCAGUCUCUGCUUUUCCUGGAACCCCGGUUAUUGUAGAAAUGGAGAUACCUAGGCUUUACUCCCGGGAGCCCUGUAACUGGAUAUUGUGAAAGUUGUCAAUUGGGUGUUCUUGCAAAUGCUGAAAAUGAUUUUAGUUACUCUUACCUUGGUGUCCUCGUCUUGAAGAGGGAUGAGAUAGAUUAAGCAAAUUUGGGGCUAAUAAAACUUUUACAGGCAAUACCUAAGUGAUUAGCAUGCCUAUAUGCACAGCUGAGCAGGGAUCUGCUCUAAAGUUUUAAGGUAAUAAAGGAGACAUAUGAAAUGAAGGCAGAGAUGCCAAGCUUUGUCCUGCUUUUAGUUACUAUCUUAGUUGGGGCUAGGGAUUUAGCUCAGCGGCAAAGUGCCUGCCUGGCAAGCACAG